RNAcentral lists this ribosomal RNA (403 nucleotides) under uncultured bacterium. RNAcentral's name for it is "bacterial SSU rRNA". It matches the Rfam family "Bacterial small subunit ribosomal RNA", at positions 355 to 774 of the family's 1533-position model. The record is from RNAcentral.
UGAGGAAUAUUGCACAAUGGGCGCAAGCCUGAUGCAGCAACGCCGCGUGCGGGACGAAGGCCUUCGGGUCGUAAACCGCUUUUCUGGGGGAAGAGCAAGGACGGUACCUCAGGAAUAAUUCUCGGCUAACUACGUGCCAGCAGCCGCGGUAAAACGUAGGAGGCGAGCGUUAUCCGGAUUUACUGGGCGUAAAGCGCACGCAGGCGGUUCUGUUAGUCGGACGUGAAAGCUCUCGGCUUAACCGGGAGAGGCCGUUCGAUACUGCGGGGCUUGAGGUAGGGAGAGGAGUGCGGAAUUCCCGGUGUAGUGGUGGAAUGCGUAGAUAUCGGGAGGAACACCUGUGGCGAAAGCGGCAUUCUGGCCCUCACCUGACGCUGAGGUGCGAAAGCGUGGGUAGCAAACA